GUAGGGUGCGAGCGUUAAUCGGAAUUACUGGGCGUAAAGCGUGCGCAGGCGGUUUUGUAAGCCAGAUGUGAAAUCCCCGGGCUUAACCUGGGAAUGGCAUUUGGGACUGCAAGGCUGGAGUUUGGCAGAGGAGACUGGAAUUCCUGUGUAGCAGUGAAAUGCGUAGAUAUCAGGAGGAAUACCGAUGGCGAAGGCAGGUCUCUGGGCUAUAACUGACGCUCAUGCACGAAAGCGUGGGGAGCAAACAGGAUUAGAUACCCUGGUAGUCCACGCCCUAAACGAUGUCGACUGGUUGUUGGGGGUUUGACACUCUCAGUAACGAAGCUAACGCGUGAAGUCGACCGCCUGGGGAGUACGGCCGCAAGGUUA
Molecule: ribosomal RNA, 369 nt
Filed under: uncultured bacterium
Lineage: Bacteria
Description: bacterial SSU rRNA
Rfam family: Bacterial small subunit ribosomal RNA
Source: RNAcentral